GACGUAGGGCGCGAGCGUUGUCCGGAUUUAUUGGGCGUAAAGAGCUCGUAGGCGGCUUGUUGCGUCGACUGUGAAAACCUGCGGCUCAACCGUGUGGUCUGCAGUCGAUACGGGCAGGCUGGAGUUCGGUAGGGGAGACUGGAAUUCCUGGUGUAGCGGUGAAAUGCGCAGAUAUCAGGAGGAACACCGGUGGCGAAGGCGGGGCUCUGGGCCGAUACUGACGCUGAGGAGCGAAAGCGUGGGGAGCGAACAGG
Molecule: ribosomal RNA, 254 nt
Filed under: uncultured bacterium
Lineage: Bacteria
Description: partial 16S ribosomal RNA
Rfam family: Bacterial small subunit ribosomal RNA
Source: RNAcentral